CCCGACGGCCAUACCACCCUGAAUGUGCCGGAUCUCAUCUGAUCUCGGAAGCUAAGUGGGGUCGGGCCUGGUUAGUCCUUGGAUGGGAGACCGCCUGGGAAUACCGGGUGCUGUAGGCU
Molecule: ribosomal RNA, 119 nt
Filed under: Ornithorhynchus anatinus (platypus)
Lineage: Eukaryota; Metazoa; Chordata; Mammalia; Monotremata; Ornithorhynchidae
Source: RNAcentral